AACGAACGCUGGCGGCGUGGAUUAGGCAUGCAAGUCGAACGAUCCCGAGCAAUCGGGAUAGUGGCAAAAGGGUGAUUAACGCGUGGGUAACCUACCUUCGAAUCUGGGAUAACUUCGCGAAAGCGAGGCUAAUACCGGAUAAGACCACGUUCCCUAGGGAAUGUGGUAAAAGAUGGCCUCUAUUUAUAAGCUGUCAUUUGAAGAGGGGCCUGCGUCCUAUCAGCUUGUUGGUGAGGUAACGGCUCACCAAGGCAUUUGACGGGUAGCUGGUCUGAGAGGAUGGUCAGCCACACUGGGACUGAGACACUGCCCAGACUCCUACGGGAGGCUGCAGUCGAGAAUCUUUAGCAAUGGGCGAAAGCCUGACUAUGCGACGCCGCGUGAGCGAUGAAGUCCUUCGGGAUGUAAAGCUCUGUCAGGUGGGAUGAAUACUCCGCUUUAAAUAGGAGCGGAGCUUGACGGUACCACCAGAGAAGCCACGCUAACU
Molecule: ribosomal RNA, 487 nt
Filed under: uncultured bacterium
Lineage: Bacteria
Description: bacterial SSU rRNA
Rfam family: Bacterial small subunit ribosomal RNA
Source: RNAcentral